Molecule: non-coding RNA, 1755 nt
Organism: Chiloscyllium plagiosum (whitespotted bambooshark)
Lineage: Eukaryota; Metazoa; Chordata; Chondrichthyes; Orectolobiformes; Hemiscylliidae
Source: RefSeq, a predicted model, not a curated record
AUUUCCUGUAUGAAUAGUUGCGAAGGACGGAGAAUGCACAGCCAAGAAAGAGAUGUGGAAAUGUUUUGAAUAUAUACAAGGUAUGUAACGCCGAAGGGAUUAAUUCCGGUGCGACAUCAGAAGGGUGUUCUCGCGGUGUUGCACGCGCGGCUGGAGCUGCUGUCGUCAUUAACGGCCUGUGGACCCUACUGGAGUCUUAAUGGCAAUGAUAGACUCGCCAAACAAGUCCUGUUACUGUAUUUGGAGGUGACUGAUUCUUUUGCUUUACUUUAUUAUCUCAAUUCAGAUUUUAUUUUUUAAUGAACCACAGACGCCUUUGUUUAUACGGGUUCAGGACCACAAUAUCAAUCGUGUUUGGCACAAACUGCCCUGGUGCGAGUCCGGCUGCAGCGGUUUGAACACAGCCCAGAUUCCAAGUGGAGAGACGUCACGCGGCCUCGGGUACUUUUAAACGGAGGGCCAGACCACCCUUUCUCAACUUUACUAUUUCUUAGUAGUUAUAACACAGCUGGUAUAUCCAAGAUUUCUUACUUUUUUUCUGUUUUGUAACCAACACCACUAGAUUAAGUGGACGUUAUAUCAAUGUUAAUUCGUUUUGCAAACGCGGAGAGGGUAUCAAAUCUUGUUCGCUGGUUAGAAUGCAGCACUACUAUCCGUAAUGCUUGAAAGCAAUUUUACAGAUUUAUAAAUUUCCGUCUGUGUUAUUUAACAAGUUAGAUAAUAAUCAUACCUCAGCUAGCUGAGAGGGGAAUCCAUUCCACUGACCGUGCUUUUAUUUGUCCCUUGUCCCUUUUCCUUUCUUCCUUCGUCCUUCUCAUCUCCCAACCCAGAGUCAGGUCGGCUCUGGCCCACCAAUUUACACUCUACCUACUAAUGCCAGACUCCCUGUCGGUAACAACUAGCAAAAGCUUUCCAGACUUGUUCAUGCUUAAGGCACAGGUAGUAGAAUAACCCGGUUACCAUAGCCUUCAAGUAAGUGUCUAAAGCUGUUUAGCUUUAUUGACCAGUAAGGAAAGUGAAAGACAGCGAUCACUAAAAUUAGCAUUAGAUAGUAACUUCAAUUAAAUCUAAUACAUCGCAGUAAGAUUGCGGUGAGUAGGGCUUUUGAGUCUAAGGCUCGUCUGCUUAAUGAACCUUUUUGUUUCUUUUUUACUCUUCCUUUUAAGUGUUACUUACCGCGCAUGGAAGAACUCUGUCACGGCAACUGCAUUGAGGCAGCGAGUCGGCCCAGUGCUGUCUUGCGGCGGAAAUAAGUUUAGGUUCUCGAAGGCUUCUGCAUUGACAAAAUGGUUGUGGCGCCGAGUCAUAGCUGCGGCAGCGGAGACGCAUUUGGGUUCCCGGCCACAUCUGCGUCCAGUGCACACUCAGCCAGCCGUGGAGGCGAGUUCGGGCCCAGUACGAGACCUGCUCGCAGCAGCUGUAUCGGUGAGAUGAGCCCAAACCAGACUCAUGGCAGCAGAGUCAAGUUUGGGCUGGUGAGGUACCUGGUGGCAUUUAUGGCCUCUAUACUGGUGAGGAUUCCAUGGCAAGUGUCAAUGAAGGCAAAAUGGCACCAAAAAGAGUGGCGAAGGGGACUCAUGCCACGACAGUCACAGCAGAGCACUUAACAUGGAGGACUGAAGUUGAAUAUUUUUCUGCCUUUCUACUGUAUAGUUUAUUUUUGUGAAUUAGUGCCAGAGAAUAACACUAUACAGCACUUUUAACUGUAUUUAGUAACAAAACACAAGUGACAAAUAAAUCAACCAUGGAUUUGCA